Molecule: ribosomal RNA, 420 nt
Filed under: Triticum aestivum (bread wheat)
Lineage: Eukaryota; Viridiplantae; Streptophyta; Magnoliopsida; Poales; Poaceae
Description: partial small subunit ribosomal RNA
Source: RNAcentral
AUGGGGGCAGUCUUGCGAGACGACAAAGGUAGGUUUAUUGCAGAAGGAAAUGGAAAGAUCAACCAUUGCGCGGAUGUUCUGAUGACAGAAGCAUUAGCUCUCAAAUUUGGACUAACAUUAGCGCAAAGGGCGGGGUGCAAGCAAUUAAUCAUCAACUCAAAUAAUCUGGAUGUAAUUGAGACCAUGCAGGACGGAGGACAAUCAACGGGUGCGGCGGCGGCAAUUUUCGAUGACUGCUUUCACUAUGUAUGUGAUUUUAUCAUGACUACAUUCGAACAUUGUAAUAGAAAGACAAAUAAAGUAGCACAUGAACUUGCUAGAUUAGCUAGAUUUUCUUCAACUUUGGAUUGGUUUGAGGAGCCUCUAAAUGAAAUUGUAAUGAUCCUCACAAACGAUGUACUGAUUAUUUCUAAUGAAUAA